RNAcentral lists this ribosomal RNA (469 nucleotides) under uncultured bacterium. RNAcentral describes it as "bacterial SSU rRNA". It matches the Rfam family "Bacterial small subunit ribosomal RNA", at positions 28 to 507 of the family's 1533-position model. The record is from RNAcentral.
GAUGAACGCUAGCGGCAGGCCUAAUACAUGCAAGUCAAGGGGACCAGCAAUGGUCACCGGCGACGGGUGCGUAACGCGUACACAACCUACCCUUAAGAGGGGGGAUAGCGGCGGGAAACUGCCGGUAAUACCCCAUGGUAUUAUUGAAUCGCCUGGUUUGAUAAUUAAAGUUCCGGCGCUUAAGGAUGGGUGUGCGUCUGAUUAGCUAGUUGGCGAGGUAACGGCGUACCAAGGCGACGAUCAUAGGGGGCGUGAGAGCGUGGACCCCCACACGGGUACUGAGACACGGACCCGACUCCUACGGGAGGCAGCAGUAAGGAAUAUUGGUCAAUGGAGGAAACUCUGAACCAGCCAUCCCGCGUGCAGGAAGAAUGCCCUAUGGGUUGUAAACUGCUUUUAUCUGGGAAGAAAAGCCGGCAUUUAUGUUGGUCUGACGGUACCAGAGGAAUAAGCACCGGCUAACUCCGUG